AUCGCGGGAAAAAGAUCUUGGGAAGCCAGUAGACACUCCAGUUAUAGGAAGCCAGUGGACAAUCAAGUAGUACGUACGUGCAUUUGCCACAUGUUAGUCAUUUUAUUUUGCCAUUGUGCCCUGUCGAAGUAAAAGGUUGUAUGGCCGAGUAUAUAUUAGUAUUUUGCAUUAGUCAUUUUAUGUAAUGGGCUUGAGGAUUAUUUGUGGAUUCGAAGCUUAUGCAGGUGUUUACAAGAUCCUUCCCAAGGGUGCUACAAAUACCCAUCACUACAUAAUGACAGAUUUUGAUUGAGCUCUGCUAUAAAAUAGAAGCUGUCGACAAUAAUCAAGUUAAUUAUAAAAAAUAAGUUAACUCUGGAAUGAGAAUCCUGUAUUAUCUUACUGCUGCAGUAGACUUCUUUGCUUCAUUAACUAUCGGAUGGCAACCUAUAAGAGAAAUAUCUGCUGAGGGAUCAAAAAGACUUCUAUGGAAACUGAAUUUAUUAAACUGAAUACGCGU
Molecule: long non-coding RNA, 499 nt
Organism: Ctenocephalides felis (cat flea)
Lineage: Eukaryota; Metazoa; Arthropoda; Insecta; Siphonaptera; Pulicidae
Exons: 3
Source: RefSeq, a predicted model, not a curated record